CUGCCCCUGUCAGGGGGACAACCCGCCGAAAGGCGGGCUAAACCCGCGUACAUGCCACCGGGGCAUCCCGGAGGCAGGAAAGGCUUCGGCCGGACAGGGAUGGGCAUGCGGCGCAUUAGGCAGUAGGCGGGGUAACGGCCCACCUAACCGACGAUGCGUAGGGGUUCUGAGAGAAAGGUCCCCCACACUGGUACUGAGACACGGACCAGACUCCUACGGGAGGCAGCAGUGAGGAAUAUUGGUCAAUGGUCGGGAGACUGAACCAGCCAAGCCGCGUGAGGGAGGAAGGUACAGAGUAUCGUAAACCUCUUUUGUCAGGGAACAAAGACUGGGACGCGUCCCCGGAUGAGUGUACCUGAAGAAAAAGCAUCGGCUAACUCCGUGCCAGCAGCCGCGGUAAUACGGAGGAUGCGAGCGUUAUCCGGAUUUAUUGGGUUUAAAGGGUGCGCAGGCGGUCUGUUAAGUCAGCGGUCAAAGCCCGGGGCUCAACCCCGGCCCGCCGUUGAAACUGGCAGUCUCGAGUUGGAGAGAAGUAUGCGGAAUGCGCGGUGUAGCGGUGAAAUGCAUAGAUAUCGCGCAGAACUCCGAUUGCGAAGGCAGCAUGCCGGCUCCACACUGACGCUGAGGCACGAAAGCGUGGGUAUCGAACAGGAUUAGAUACCCUGGUAGUCCACGCAGUAAAC
RNAcentral lists this ribosomal RNA (683 nucleotides) under uncultured bacterium. Its description in RNAcentral is "bacterial SSU rRNA". It matches the Rfam family "Bacterial small subunit ribosomal RNA", at positions 126 to 807 of the family's 1533-position model. The record is from RNAcentral.